This 497-nucleotide ribosomal RNA is filed under the name uncultured bacterium. Its description in RNAcentral is "partial 16S ribosomal RNA". It matches the Rfam family "Bacterial small subunit ribosomal RNA", at positions 28 to 507 of the family's 1533-position model. The record is from RNAcentral.
GAUGAACGCUGGCGGCGUGCCUAAUACAUGCAAGUCGAGCGAACAGACGAGGAGCUUGCUCCUCUGACGUUAGCGGCGGACGGGUGAGUAACACGUGGAUAACCUACCUAUAAGACUGGGAUAACUUCGGGAAACCGGAGCUAAUACCGGAUAAUAUAUUGAACCGCAUGGUUCAAUAGUGAAAGACGGUUUUGCUGUCACUUAUAGAUGGAUCCGCGCCGCAUUAGCUAGUUGGUAAGGUAACGGCUUACCAAGGCAACGAUGCGUAGCCGACCUGAGAGGGUGAACGGCCACACUGGAAGUGAGACACGGUCCAGACUCCUACGGGAAGCAGCAGUAGGGAAUCUUCCGCAAUGGGCGAGAGCCUGACAGAGCAACGCCGCGUGAGUGAUGAAGGUCUUCGGAUCGUAAAACUCUGUUAUUAGGGGAGAACAAAUGUGUAAGUAACUAUGCACGUCUUGACGGUACCUAAUCAGAAAGCCACGGCUAACUACGUG